Molecule: ribosomal RNA, 349 nt
Filed under: uncultured Campylobacterota bacterium
Lineage: Bacteria; Pseudomonadati; Campylobacterota
Description: bacterial SSU rRNA
Rfam family: Bacterial small subunit ribosomal RNA
Source: RNAcentral
GCGUAGGCGGGAAGCCAAGUCUGAUGUGAAAUCCUAUGGCUUAACCAUAGAACUGCAUUGGAAACUGGUUACCUAGAGUAUGGGAGGGGGAGAUGGAAUUAGUGGUGUAGGGGUAAAAUCCGUAGAUAUCACUAGGAAUACCGAARGCGAAGGCGAUCUCCUGGAACAAUACUGACGCUAAGGCGUGAAAGCGUGGGGAGCAAACGGGAUUAGAUACCCCGGUAGUCCACGCCCUAAACGAUGUUCACUAGUCGUCGGGAUGCUAGUCAUCUCGGUGAUGCACUUAACASAUUAAGUGAACCGCCUGGGGAGUACGGUCGCAAGAUUAAAACUCAAAGAAAUUGACGGA